Molecule: ribosomal RNA, 253 nt
Filed under: uncultured bacterium
Lineage: Bacteria
Description: partial 16S ribosomal RNA
Rfam family: Bacterial small subunit ribosomal RNA
Source: RNAcentral
UACGUAGGGUGCAAGCGUUGUCCGGAAUUAUUGGGCGUAAAGAGCUCGUAGGCGGUCUGUCGCGUCGGCUGUGAAAACUCGGGGCUCAACCCCGAGCCUGCAGUCGAUACGGGCAGGCUUGAGUGCUGUAGGGGAGACUGGAAUUCCUGGUGUAGCGGUGAAAUGCGCAGAUAUCAGGAGGAACACCGAUGGCGAAGGCGGGUCUCUGGGCCGUAACUGGCGCUGAGGAGCGAAAGCGUGGGGAGCGAACAGG